Molecule: non-coding RNA, 1395 nt
Organism: Arachis ipaensis
Lineage: Eukaryota; Viridiplantae; Streptophyta; Magnoliopsida; Fabales; Fabaceae
Source: RefSeq, a predicted model, not a curated record
UUAGUGUCAGGUCUUUAGGAUUUUUUUAAAAUUGCCUAUACACUUCUUCAUAUAGUAUUAUGACACCUACAUUUAUACAUAUUUUCGUUGGAACCCCUCUGUAUAAAUGGGCUGUGGACUGAGUUGGGAUAGUCGCUGACAAAUGGGGGACGACCAUAUGGUUUGUGAUUCUGACCCUUACUUUACUUUCAUCUCUCUUUAUUGGGAUGUUUGGGAUUAACGGGUUGAGAUUCCUGCAAUACUUUUCUUCAUUUGGGUCUUCUCAAGUUCAGUUUUUUUCACCCUUGGGUUGAUCAUAUUUAGCUUGAGUUUGUUUUUUUACUUGUUUUGGAUGUGGAUUGAGUUCAGAGGAUGUGUGCAAAGAAGUUGAAUGUGGAAAGGGGGCCUGCAAGCCUUCUAAGAACAGCACUUCCUUAUAAUCCUGGUUGAAAGCAAUCUCUCUCUUCCCAUACUCAGCAUGGAAGCCCCUGCCCCUGCUCCACACAAAGAAAGAAGAUCCAAUGAAUCAGUGUUUGAUGGUAACAGACAGAAAAAACUGCUGCCAUCAAAUGUUGCUGUUCAAUUUCUUUUCGUGUUUAUAUCCUUUUUGAUCAUGUAGCUUGCUUUUGGGUUGAUUGUGGAGGUGGGUCAUGUAACAAGACAUCACCCUUCUCCUACAGUUGCCAUUGUGAUGUUGGAUAUUACAAUAUUCUCAAUGGUCAAUGCCACUGCCUCCCCUUGUGUCAAAUAAUGUGCUAUUGGCAUUGAUUGCUCUAACCUGGGAAUUUCAAUGACGAACUCAUCUACCACAGCAACGCCACCAACAUUGUCCGCGAGCGGUAAGAAUGAAGUUAAGGUCAAUGCUCUCUGGUAAAAUCACAAAUAGGAGUUGCAUAACUUGGCUUUAUCAAUUGUGAUUCAGCUAAAGAAAUUUCAUGGAAAAUCAAGCGCUUAUUCUAAGUGCUUUCUCAUCUGAAAUCAGCAUUCUAAACCAACUAUUUAUUGCUACAUAGUUGUUUAGGCUGCUUACAAUUUUGUUGAACCUUGUCAGUUAUUACCUUCUCCUUGAUUUUUUGGGUUUGCAGCUAGCUCAACUCUCCAAGGAAGCUGUAUUGGGUUGCUUAUGUUGAUAAUGUUCAUGGCUAGUAUAUAAUUGCAUUAGGGCUUUUUGUCCUUGAUCUUAAGACUUAAGAGUCUCUCAUUCUUAUUUUGGUCGGUGAACCCUGCAUGUUACUGAUCCCUGAAUAAUGCCACACUGAGUUCAAUCGCAUGAUUAUUGUAAUGUUAUUGACACGGAAGCUAAGAUUAUAGGUUAUGGAAGUUGCAUCUUUCAUAUCUUUUUUGUCUUGUUGUUUCAUAGUAUUUACAAGAAAAAAUAUUAUUAUUCCAAACAGAUAUAUUCAGAACCUUUGCUCA